Molecule: long non-coding RNA, 1717 nt
Organism: Musa acuminata AAA Group (dessert banana)
Lineage: Eukaryota; Viridiplantae; Streptophyta; Magnoliopsida; Zingiberales; Musaceae
Exons: 5
Source: RefSeq, a predicted model, not a curated record
GCCUCAGUUAUCUUGUAUGUUAGUCCAUUGGAAUAUCAUGCUACUUAUAUCAACUAAUUUGUUAUUGGUUUAGUUGCCAAGUUUCUUUCCCAGUAAUUGGGCAUGCAACCAAUUUGCACAUGUUGUAAGACACUUAUACAUUGCACAUCUUGUUUGCCAUCAUUCCAUGAUGCAGAUAUGUUUUUGUUCGAUAGUUAAUUAACUUGAACAAAAAGGGUUGUGUACAUAGUGUUGUUGCUUGUAUACAAGCAGUAUCUUAUUUCGGGUAAGUAGCUUAACAUGGAACAAAGCAUAGUUCUUGAUAAGCUACUGAUGUACUUGGUGCUACCACAAUCCAUUGAGUAAUUAACAUAGUGAGCAUGUGCUCUGAUAAAUGAUUUGCUUGGAUUUAUUUUGUUCUUUUAUCAUCUUCACAUCUUCUAAUUCAACAUGUAAAGAUAGUUAGUAAUCCGCUCUGGUUUUUUUGAUAAUUGCUUAUGAUCUUGUCAGUUUUUUACUUUUGGGAUUUACUUAUCCACUCUCCCAUUUCGUGAAGCAGUUUCUAUGCCUGGUUCACUGAAACCCAACAGAAAAAUCUUUCAGAGGGGUUCUAUGAUGUGGUGGCUGGGAUUAUAAAUGAAAAUUUAUGAUCUGAUCCCUUGAAAUACUUCAACAAUCAUCGCGAAAAGCAGGGGAAAGAAAGACAAACCAUGCAAUGGCUAGCCACAUUUGUUGGUGCAGGAAGCUAACGAGGAAGAUUUUGAUGUAGAUGAAAAUGAUGAGGCUUUUAGUUAAAUUUGAUGAAGAUGAAGGGUUAUCACUCGUUUGUUUAUGUUGUUCUUUUACCACCACUGGGUCAUAGAUUAUUUGAUGAUCUAUUUGCCAUAGAGGAAUGGAACUCGACAAGCCAAAAGGUGAAGGUGAACUUUGGCUGCUUAGAUUUUAUGAACGGCUGGAGAAGGGCCAGAGCACAUCUUUUGCAUCGACCUUGUUCUUUUCCUUAUCUAUUGCCUGGCCUAAACUAAAGAAGAAGAGAACGUGAAGUCUCAGAACUCUUAUCAGUUCAUAAAUCAGACCGUUUGGUGCACAUCCAGGUCAUGUCUCUCCUCCAUGCCCCAAACCCGUCCUCUUCACGCCUCGGACAUCGUGCGUACGGCCAACCGAUCCAUGAAGAGCGUCACCGAUCGAUUCAUUGAUGCAGAGACAAGCCGACCGUGACACAGAGAAAGCUCACCAUCAUCGUCACCGUGACGACCCACGGCACUGCUUGCUGUACAUUGUACUUCGUUCGAAGUAUUCUGAGGUCUUGCUGUUCAAACGUACGGGGCUGCGAAGUCAGAGAUGACACCUUCCACCGUACCAUGUGGAUCUACCAGAAGACAUUCCAUGGAAAAAGAUGUCUUUUUAUGUACCAUUAGAAUGAACAGAAUCAUGGGAGCUACUUUGUGCUCUCUUUUUCUGGGCUUACUUAGGAUGGUCAAAUGGCCUACUCAAGAAGACUGCUUUGUGCUCUCGUUGGGGGUAAAAAUAACAUUUAGAGUUCCCGAUUAGAAGGGGUUUCUGAUGCUAGACAUCAAAUGCGAGCUGAUGAAGGUAUUUGUGUCUUCCAGGAACAUGGUUUGUGCAUUUUUGCUAGUUAUUAGCCAGAUGUAAACUAAAUCAAGUGGAUCUUCUAAUCCUUCUUUACCAUGUAUUUCUAUUUCCACCAAUAAUCUUAAAGAUUUGAUUCCUAAUUGCA